UACGUAGGGUGCAAGCGUUGUCCGGAAUUAUUGGGCGUAAAGAGCUUGUAGGCGGUUUGUCGCGUCUGCUGUGAAAUUUCGGGGCUCAACCCCGAACUUGCAGUGGGUACGGGCAGACUAGAGUGUGGUAGGGGAGACUGGAAUUCCUGGUGUAGCGGUGAAAUGCGCAGAUAUCAGGAGGAACACCGAUGGCGAAGGCAGUUCUCUGGGCCGUAACUGACGCUGAGGAGCGAAAGCGUGGGGAGCGAACAGG
This 253-nucleotide ribosomal RNA is filed under the name uncultured bacterium. RNAcentral's name for it is "partial 16S ribosomal RNA". It matches the Rfam family "Bacterial small subunit ribosomal RNA", at positions 524 to 776 of the family's 1533-position model. The record is from RNAcentral.